Molecule: ribosomal RNA, 253 nt
Filed under: uncultured bacterium
Lineage: Bacteria
Description: partial 16S ribosomal RNA
Rfam family: Bacterial small subunit ribosomal RNA
Source: RNAcentral
GACAGAGGAUGCAAGCGUUAUCCGGAAUUACUGGGCGUAAAGCGUGCGCAGGCGGUGAUGUAAGACCGAUGUGAAAUCCCCGGGCUUAACCUGGGAACUGCAUUGGUGACUGCAUUGCUGGAGUAUGGCAGAGGGGGGUGGAAUUCCACGUGUAGCAGUGAAAUGCGUAGAGAUGUGGAGGAACACCGAUGGCGAAGGCAGCCCCCUGGGCCAAUACUGACGCUGAGGAGCGAAAGCAUGGGGAGCGAACAGG